CAGUCGCCGCGGUAAUACGGAGGGUGCAAGCGUUAAUCGGAAUUACUGGGCGUAAAGCGCACGCAGGCGGUCUGUCAAGUCAGAUGUGAAAUCCCCGGGCUUAACCUGGGAACUGCAUUUGAAACUGGCAGGCUAGAGUCUUGUAGAGCGGGGUAGAAUUCCAGGUGUAGCGGUGAAAUGCGUAGAGAUCUGGAGGAAUACCGGUGGCGAAGGCGGCCCCCUGGACAAAGACUGACGCUCAGGUGCGAAAGCGUGGGGAGCAAACAGGAUUAGAUACCCCGGUAGUCCCUGUCUCUUAUAC
RNAcentral lists this ribosomal RNA (301 nucleotides) under uncultured bacterium. RNAcentral describes it as "partial 16S ribosomal RNA". It matches the Rfam family "Bacterial small subunit ribosomal RNA", at positions 509 to 807 of the family's 1533-position model. The record is from RNAcentral.